UACGAAGGGGGCUAGCGCUACUCGGGAUUACUGGGCGUAAAGCGCACGUAGGCGGACUUUUAAGUCGGGGGUGAAAUCCUGGAGCUCAACUCCAGAACUGCCUUCGAAACUGAAAGCCUUGAGUUCGGGAGAGGUGAGUGGAACUGCGAGUGUAGAGGUGAAAUUCGUAGAUAUUCGCAAGAACACCAGUGGCGAAGGCGGCUCACUGGCCCGAUACUGACGCUGAGGUGCGAAAGCGUGGGGAGCAAACUGG
This 253-nucleotide ribosomal RNA is filed under the name uncultured bacterium. RNAcentral's name for it is "partial 16S ribosomal RNA". It matches the Rfam family "Bacterial small subunit ribosomal RNA", at positions 524 to 776 of the family's 1533-position model. The record is from RNAcentral.